This 416-nucleotide ribosomal RNA is filed under the name bacterium enrichment culture clone ALO1_GLFRUDD03GFTEM. RNAcentral describes it as "bacterial SSU rRNA". It matches the Rfam family "Bacterial small subunit ribosomal RNA", at positions 9 to 425 of the family's 1533-position model. The record is from RNAcentral.
GAGUUUGAUCAUGGCUCAGAUUGAACGCUGGCGGCAUGCCUUACACAUGCAAGUCGAACGGCAGCACGGGAGCUUGCUCCUGGGUGGCGAGUGGCGAACGGGUGAGUAAUGCAUCGGAACGUAUCCUGGAGUGGGGGAUAACGUAGCGAAAGUUACGCUAAUACCGCAUAUUCUGUGAGCAGGAAAGCGGGGGACCUUCGGGCCUCGCGCUCUUGGAGCGGCCGAUGUCGGAUUAGCUAGUUGGUGAGGUAAAGGCGUCACCAAGGCGACGAUCCGUAGCAGGUCUGAGAGGAUGAUCUGCCACACUGGAACUGAGACACGGUCCAGACUCCUACGGGAGGCAGCAGUGGGGAAUUUUGGACAAUGGGGGCAACCCUGAUCCAGCCAUGCCGCGUGAGUGAAGAAGGCCUCGGUUG